Molecule: ribosomal RNA, 164 nt
Filed under: Hordeum marinum (seaside barley)
Lineage: Eukaryota; Viridiplantae; Streptophyta; Magnoliopsida; Poales; Poaceae
Also listed under: 3 other names
Description: 5.8S ribosomal RNA
Rfam family: 5.8S ribosomal RNA
About the family: 5.8S ribosomal RNA (5.8S rRNA) is a component of the large subunit of the eukaryotic ribosome. It is transcribed by RNA polymerase I as part of the 45S precursor that also contains 18S and 28S rRNA. Functionally, it is thought that 5.8S rRNA may be involved in ribosome translocation.
Source: RNAcentral
CACACGACUCUCGGCAACGGAUAUCUUGGCUCUCGCAUCGAUGAAGAACGUAGCGAAAUGCGAUACCUGGUGUGAAUUGCAGAAUCCCGCGAACCAUCGAGUCUUUGAACGCAAGUUGCGCCCGAGGCCACUCGGCCGAGGGCACGCCUGCCUGGGCGUCACGC